This 468-nucleotide ribosomal RNA is filed under the name uncultured bacterium. RNAcentral describes it as "partial 16S ribosomal RNA". It matches the Rfam family "Bacterial small subunit ribosomal RNA", at positions 28 to 507 of the family's 1533-position model. The record is from RNAcentral.
GACGAACGCUGGCGGCGUGCUUAACACAUGCAAGUCGAACGGAAAGGCCCUGCUUUUGUGGGGUGCUCGAGUGGCGAACGGGUGAGUAACACGUGAGUAACCUGCCCUUGACUUUGGGAUAACUUCAGGAAACUGGGGCUAAUACCGGAUAGGAGCUCCUGCUGCAUGGGGGGGGUUGGAAAGUUUCGGCGGUUGGGGAUGGACUCGCGGCUUAUCAGCUUGUUGGUGGGGUAGUGGCUUACCAAGGCUUUGACGGGUAGCCGGCCUGAGAGGGUGACCGGCCACAUUGGGCCUGAGAUACGGCCCAGUCUCCAACGGGAGGCAGCAGUGGGGAAUAUUGCACAAUGGGGGGACGCCUGAUGCAGCGACGCCGCGUGCGGGAUGAAGGCCUUCGGGUUGUGAACCGCUUUCGCCUGUGACGAAGCGUGAGUGACGGUAAUGGGUAAAGAAGCACCGGCUAACUACGUG